UGGGGAAUAUUGCACAAUGGGCGCAAGCCUGAUGCAGCGACGCCGCGUGAGGGAUGGAGGCCUUCGGGUUGUAAACCUCUUUCGCCAGUGAAGCAGGCCAUCUUCUUUGUGGGGUGGUUGACGGUAGCUGGAUAAGAAGCGCCGGCUAACUACGUGCCAGCAGCCGCGGUAAUACGUAGGGCGCGAGCGUUGUCCGGAAUUAUUGGGCGUAAAGAGCUCGUAGGCGGCUGGUCGCGUCUGUCGUGAAAUCCCCUGGCGUAACUGGGGGCUUGCGGUGGGUACGGGCCGGCUUGAGUGCGGUAGGGGAGACUGGAAUUCCUGGUGUAUCGGUGGAAUGCGCAGAUAUCAGGAGGAUCACCGGUGGCGAAGGCGGGUCUCUGGGUCGUUACUGACGCUGAGGAGCGAAAGCGUGGGGAGCGAACAGG
RNAcentral lists this ribosomal RNA (425 nucleotides) under bacterium. RNAcentral's name for it is "partial 16S ribosomal RNA". It matches the Rfam family "Bacterial small subunit ribosomal RNA", at positions 355 to 776 of the family's 1533-position model. The record is from RNAcentral.